CAAUAUUAUACUGUUGCAUAGUCUAUAGAAUAACAUGAAGGAGAAAGUAAAGUUGAAAGCCUUUGCAUGAAAGAGAAGUGUAAAGGGGGGCAUCUGCACGAAAGAACGUGAAAAAAAAAAUUGCCAUUUCAUGAUGAAUGAACAAUUAAACAAGAUGUGUUCAAAGUACAUGGAUGCCCCAUCAGCACUAUCAUUUUCUAUGUUGAAUGGACCGUGAAAAAAUCUCUAAUUUGCCAUAAAAAUCAGAAAGAUUAUAUCAUAGGGAACAUGUGUACUAAGUUUCAAGUAGAUUGGAC
RNAcentral lists this long non-coding RNA (296 nucleotides) under Mytilus galloprovincialis (Mediterranean mussel). The record is from RNAcentral. Lineage: Eukaryota; Metazoa; Mollusca; Bivalvia; Mytilida; Mytilidae.